GACGAACGCUGGCGGCGUGCUUAACACAUGCAAGUCGAACGGAAAGGCCCUGCUUUUGUUGGUUGCUCGAGUGGCGAACAGGUGAGUAACACGCGAGUAACCCGCCCUUAACUUUGGGAUAUCUUCAGGAAACUGGGGCUAAUACCGGAUAGGAGCUCCUGCUGCAUGUUGGGCGUUGGAAAGUUUGGGCGGUUGGGGAUCGUCUCGCGGCUUAUGGGCUUGAUGGGGGGGUAGGUGCUGACCAAGCCUUAGACGGGUAGGCGGCCUGAGAGGUGGAACGGCGACAAUGCGACUGAGAGAGGGCCCAGACGCCUACGGGAGGCAGCAGGGGGGAGUAUUGCAGAAUGGGCGGAAGCCAGAGGCAGCAACGCCGCGUGCGGGAUGACCGCCUUCGGGUUGUAAACCGCUUUGGCCGGUGACGAAGCGUGAGUGACGGUAAUGGAUAAAGAAGCACCGGCUAACUACGUG
This 468-nucleotide ribosomal RNA is filed under the name uncultured bacterium. RNAcentral describes it as "partial 16S ribosomal RNA". It matches the Rfam family "Bacterial small subunit ribosomal RNA", at positions 28 to 507 of the family's 1533-position model. The record is from RNAcentral.